ACCAGGAAGAAUGAAGUAAUAUUUCUCAGGUUUUCAGAUAUGUUCUGGAAAGCCCAUACAAAUGUAUUGUUAUAUAUAAUAGGAAACAUAUGCAGUACAAUCAUAUUAUUAUUAUUACUGGCAUUUAUAAAGCGCCAACAAAUUCCGCAGCGUUGUACAAUUGGGAAAAAGACAAACACAAUAAGAACAGACUGAUACAACUGGUAGAGGACCCUGAUCGUAGAUAUAUUAUUACACUUGUAAUAUGCAUAUGCAAUACAACUAUUAAAUUAGCAACAGGUGCAGUUACGUUUUAAUUUAAGUUAGGUGGAUGUCAUUUUUAGGGUCUUCAGACUGGUGGCAAAUGUGUUAUUCUGGGACAGGUUAUUCCAUGUAUAUAUAAAAAUAUAGGAGAAAACGUUGGUCACCCACCCAUUGUAGAUGGUGGAUGCAAAGUAUGGAACCAGAAGUAAAAUGAAGGUCAGAAGGUGGACAGGCAGCGUGGGAGACUUCUCAGAGAAGUGGCUAUGACCCAGACAAAAAAAAGGUGAAGUUAGCAAAUUUAGUUGUUUAACAAAUUACAACGAUGGAUACUGUAGUUAUGUGAAAGAAAAUAAAAUAUUACCCGUAACAUUGUCUAAGUAACUAUUUUUAAUGGAUAUGUAUAAGUUAACUCUCAAGUGUAUCUUGUGGCUUACUGACUGAGUGGUGCUAUCAGAAGACCAUGCAAAGUUAGAAUAUAUGAAUCUGUAAAAUAGUCCAUUUGUUUUAAAUAGCCUAUGAUUGUGCAUGAUGUCAAGGUUUGUUACUAGCUCUUGAUAACCAGGCUAGUUUUUGGUCGAUUACAUGGGUUUUAUGACCCAAAAAGGACUUAGAGAUUGCUAUCUGCCAACGGUAAGGGUACAGCAAGAAAUGUAGUGAAAAGUAAGUACCCUAUAUACUCGAGUAUAAGUCGAGCCGAAUAUAAGUCCAGACCCCUACUUUUACCCCAAAAAACUGGGAAAACGUAUUGACUCAAGUAUAAGACUAGGGUGGGAAAUGCAGCAGCUACUGGUAAAUUUCUAAAUAAAGUUAUAUCAAUUAAAUAUUUAUUUACAGUGUAUGUAUAUAAUGAAUGCAGUGUGUGUGUGUGUGUGUGUGUGUGAUGCAGAGCCUUGGUGGGGGGUGGGCAUUUUUAUUAUUUU
Molecule: non-coding RNA, 1163 nt
Organism: Pelobates cultripes (western spadefoot toad)
Lineage: Eukaryota; Metazoa; Chordata; Amphibia; Anura; Pelobatidae
Source: the annotation of a GenBank genome assembly